CGAAGGAUGCAAGCGUUAUCCGGAUUCAUUGGGUUUAAAGGGAGCGUAGGUGGACUGAUAAGUCAGUGGUGAAAUCUUUGGGCUUAACCCAAAAAUUGCCAUUGAUACUGUUGGUCUUGAGUACAGUUGCUGUGGGCGGAAUAUGACAUGUAGUGGUGAAAUACAUAGAGAUGUCAUAGAACACCGAUUGCGAAGGCAGCUCACAAAGCUGUAACUGACACUGAGGCUCGAAAGUGCGGGGAUCAAACAGGAUUAGAUACCCUGGUAGUCCGCACUGUAAACGAUGAUUACUCGCUGCUAGAGGGCAACCUUUAGUGGCUUAGCGAAAGCGAUAAGUAAUCCACCUGGGGAGUACGCCGGCAACGGUG
This 368-nucleotide ribosomal RNA is filed under the name uncultured organism. RNAcentral's name for it is "bacterial SSU rRNA". It matches the Rfam family "Bacterial small subunit ribosomal RNA", at positions 526 to 896 of the family's 1533-position model. The record is from RNAcentral.